CCCUUAGAUGUCCUGGGCCGCACGCGUGCUACACUGACACUUACACCGAGUUUUUCCAAUGCCGAAAGGCCAUUGGUAAUCAGCAAUAAGUGUCGUGAUGGGGAUAGAUCUUUGGAAUUAUUGAUCUUGAACGAGGAAUGCCUAGUAAUCGUAGGUCAUCAGCCUGCGAUGAUUACGUCCCUGCCCUUUGUACACACCGCCCGUCGCACCUACCGAUUGAAUGGUCCGGUGAAAUCUCGGGACGGCGGCUUGGUCGCUUGCGUCCGACUGCUGAAACUUGAUUAAACCAUAUCAUUUAGAGGAAGGUGAANUCGUAACA
Molecule: ribosomal RNA, 319 nt
Filed under: uncultured eukaryote
Lineage: Eukaryota
Description: partial 18S ribosomal RNA
Rfam family: Eukaryotic small subunit ribosomal RNA
Source: RNAcentral